RNAcentral lists this long non-coding RNA (1283 nucleotides) under Aedes aegypti (yellow fever mosquito). Its description in RNAcentral is "lncRNA AAEL024586". Lineage: Eukaryota; Metazoa; Arthropoda; Insecta; Diptera; Culicidae. The record is from RNAcentral.
AUCAUGUGCUGCCCUGCCGUUAUACGCAUAAUUGUCCCAUGUUCCUGUUAUACCCUUAACGAUCAUGCGCACUCCCCUGCGCAUUCGAAAUAAAACGUCAAUGAUCGUUUUUACUUCGGGAGUUCGAUCUGCGAUCGAACGGUUACCUAUGACUAUGAAAUAAAACAGAGAGGCAGAAAGUUGUGAGACACUGAACAAACAACAAGUAAUAUUUCUACAGCGUAUAUAUCACCGUGCUCAGGGAAUAGUCCGCGGGUAAUUAUUCUAAGUCCGGUCGUUCUAAGUCUACCCUUAAUUAGUAAGGAUAAAUCUUGAAAGUGGCGACGAGAAAAAUCGGAAAAAGUGAUUGUGCGUGACUUUGAGGUUGGUGUGUCAGCAUCCCACCAUCAGCAACACAAGCCAACAGCAGCAGAAUUUAGUUGAUCGAUCGGAAUUUCGUUCAUCUUUCGCCCCGGUUGAAAUAGUGGAAGCAGGAGAAACACAGAUUCGAAACCUUCCCAUCCAACUGUGGAUCUCAACCUACCGAUUGACGGUGUCCGGUAUUCAUUGGUAAUCAAAACAGUGUUAUUCUUACUGGUAAGCGGAACUGGCUUUUGGCGUUGCGUGGUUGAUCGAUUGAUUCCAGGCGGAACUGUGUAGUGGUUCGAUCAUUCCGGGCGGAAUAGCGUUUUCUAUAGUCGAUUACGCCCCUGCAGUUCGUCUGUUAGUGGAGUUUACUCACCUUUGAUUGAAACCGAGGAACUACAAACGCCGAACCAAUUGAAUAGUAGUCGACACGGCCAGCCAAAAGUAAUUUACAAGGCGGAAUUGUUCCGAUACAUGUUGGAAACGUGGCAAUAAUGGCCCAUCGCAGUCAGCUUAAGAGGUGCAAGGAGUGUCCGGUGUGGUCCCUGCCAAACGUGAUUAUCAGAAGACUGCGAGAUGACGAACUAGAAGGCCUGGAAGUAGGAGGAUCAACAAAUGUUGACGAGGUCAUGGACGAGAUGCAGACUGACAAUGACCACGAACCAGUAGACACGACUCCAAAGGGAGGAACCCACAGCAGAAAGAGGAAGAUGCCGGAUACCGGAACCGACGCCGAAGGGCUCCGUCGGUCCAAACGAUCGAGGAAGACCAAGCGAGAUAAGGAAUAUUGCUACGAGUUCAGAUUAGGUUUCUGAUACUUGUUCUAUAUUGAACGAUCGAAAUGUUUAUUUUAUAGUUAAGUAAUGUUGAACUAGAAGUUCAUUUGAUUUGAAUUCGUAUUAAAUUGGCUGAGGCCUAAUCUGAUUCAUUAGCUAAAA